GACGAACGCUGGCGGCGUGCUUAACACAUGCAAGUCGAACGGAAAGGCCCUGCUUUUGUGGGGUGCUCGAGUGGCGAACGGGUGAGUAACACGUGAGUAACCUGCCCUUGACUUUGGGAUAACUUCAGGAAACUGGGGCUAAUACCGGAUAGGAGCUCCUGCUGCAUGGUGGGGGUUGGAAAGUUUCGGCGGUUGGGGAUGGACUGGCGGCUUAUCAGCUUGUUGGUGGGGUGGUGGCUUACCAAGGCUUUGACGGGUAGCCGGCCUGAGAGGGUGACAGGCCACAUUGGGACUGAGAUGCGGCCCAGACUCAUACGGGAGGCAGCAGUGGGGAAUAGUGCACAAUGGGCGGAAGCCUGAUGCAGCAACGCCGCGUGCGGGAUGACGGCCUUCGGGUUGGAAACCGCUUUCGCCUGUGACGAAGCGUGAGUGACGGUAAUGGGUAAAGAAGCACCGGCUAACUACGUG
RNAcentral lists this ribosomal RNA (468 nucleotides) under uncultured bacterium. RNAcentral describes it as "partial 16S ribosomal RNA". It matches the Rfam family "Bacterial small subunit ribosomal RNA", at positions 28 to 507 of the family's 1533-position model. The record is from RNAcentral.